CAUCGUACGAUCCUUUGGACACGUCUAAAGGUGAGAGUGGCGAACGGGUGAGUAACACGUUGGUGACCUGCCCCGGAGAGGGGUAUGAACCACUGGAAACGGUGGCUAAUACCCCAGAUGUCAUUGAUUUUGGAACUCAGUGACUAAAGCCCCGGCGCUCCGGGAGGGGCCUGCGGCCCAUCAGCUAGUUGGUAGGGUAAUGGCAUCCCCAAGGCAAAGACGGGUAGGGGGCGUGAGAGCGUGACCCCCCACACUUAUCCCAGACACGGACCACAUUGGAGCCACUGCGGGUAGCACCACCAAGGAAUAUUGCCCAAUGGACGAAAGUCUGAUGCAGCAACGCCGCGUGGAGGACGAAGGCCUUCGGGUCGUAAGCUCCUUUUCUGGGGGAUGAGAAAGGACAGUACCCCAUGAAUAAGUCUCGGCUAACUACGUGCCAGCAGCCGCGUAAAACGUAGGAGGCGAGCGUUAUCCGGAUUUACUGGGCGUAAAGCGCAUGCAUGCGGUUUUCUAAGUUAUCAGACGUGAAAGCUCUCGGCUCAACUGGGAGAGGCCGUUCGAAACUAUCCAGACUUGAGGGUGGUAGAAUAUGAGAGUGGAAUUCCCGGUGUAGUGGUGAAAUGCGUAGAUAUCGGGAGGAACACCAGUGGCGAAGGCGGCUCUCUGGGCCAACCGUGACGCUAAGAUGCGAAAGCUAGGGGAGAGAACGGGAUUAGCAACGCCGGUAUUCCUAGCCGUUAACGAUGUCAACUAACCGUAGGGUAGUUAUUGACUGUGCUGUAGCUAACGCAUUAAGUUGUCCGCCUGGGGACUACGGCCGCAUGGCUAAAACUCAAAGGAUUCACGGGUCCCCGCAUAAGCAGCGGAGCGUGUGAUUACAAUUCGAGGCUACGCGAAGAACCUUACCAGGGUAUGACAUGCUGGUGGUAGAGACGUGUAUCACGAAUCGACCACUUCGUUAUCCAGCACAGGUGUAUUAAUGGCUGUCGUCAGCUCGUGCCGUGAGGUGUUAGGUUAAGUCCUGUAACGAGCGCAACCCUCGUCGCUAGUUACAAGUGUCUAGCGAGACUGCCGGUGAUAAGCCGGUUAUAUGGGGAUGACGUCAAAUUCCACGGAUUAUAUCCUGGGCUACACCCACGCUACAAUGGCCGGUACAAUGGGUCGCCAAGCCGCGAGGCGGAGCCAAUCCUCUAAAGCCGGUCUCAGUUCGGAUUGCAGGGUGCAACUCGCCUGAUUGAGACCAGUCGGAGUUGCUAGUAGCCGCGCGUCAGCAAAUUAAGUUAGGCCAAUACGUUCCCGGGGAUUGUACACACCGCCCGUCACGUCACGGAAGUUGGCAACGCCCGAAGUCGGUGGGCUAACCCUCACGGGAGGCAGCCGCCUAAUAUGGGGACCAGAUU
This 1400-nucleotide ribosomal RNA is filed under the name uncultured bacterium. Its description in RNAcentral is "bacterial SSU rRNA". It matches the Rfam family "Bacterial small subunit ribosomal RNA". The record is from RNAcentral.